This 92-nucleotide microRNA precursor is filed under the name Drosophila simulans. Its description in RNAcentral is "microRNA dsi-mir-964 precursor". Its record names the gene dsi-mir-964. It matches the Rfam family "mir-964 microRNA precursor family". Lineage: Eukaryota; Metazoa; Arthropoda; Insecta; Diptera; Drosophilidae. The record is from miRBase by way of RNAcentral.
UUGGUCCAACUUGCCUUAGAAUAGGGGAGCUUAACUUGUGUUUUUAAUGUUUAAGUUAAAAGCCACUGUUCUAAGACAAUUUGAUGAUCAAA